This is a non-coding RNA of Phyllostomus discolor (pale spear-nosed bat), 909 nucleotides long. The record is from the annotation of a RefSeq genome assembly. Lineage: Eukaryota; Metazoa; Chordata; Mammalia; Chiroptera; Phyllostomidae.
UUUGGUAUUAAAGAAAAAUAAAGGUCAAUUUUCAUACCCAAAUCCUGAAUCCACAGAAAGAUUCACAUAGGAUCUGAACACAAUUUGUACGUCUUCACAUUUCUGAAGUAAUGUUUCUAUGUCAUGGUAUUUCACAGGGAAUGGCUGAGUGGGUGUGAGAACCAUCCCUGCCCCAACCCAGACAGAUACAUUUAUUCCAGGACUUUUUUUCUAGAUCACAACACUCUUAUCCUAUUCUCCCAGCACUCAUGGGAGAGAGGAAGCCCCGAACUGCUCAUCUAUAUAGCAGAUCAUGAAGAACCCCAGGGAACUGUCUGAGCCACCACUUCCUGCUAUAAACAAGACAGAACCCCACCCUCCUGACACUGGUCUGCUAACAGGGACCUCACUUUCUUACCUUCUCCCUGGGGAGCCAGCCUGGAGUGCAGGAUGUUACUACUGGAAGCAGUCAUCUUCUUCUCCCUCUGGCCUUUUGGCCUUGGGCAGUUAAAGUUGGAGCAAUCUGAAAUAUCAAUUUCCAGGUCAAGAGAUAAAAGUGCCCAUAUAUCUUGUAAGGUGUUUUCUAGCACCUUUAGCACAGACUACAUACACUGGUAUCGGCAGAAACCAGAUCAAGGUAUAGAACAUUUAAUACAUGCUUACUCAAACACCCCUACUCGUGGGAAGAACAACAAAUUUGAGGCAAGUAAAAAUCUUCACACUUUCACUUCCACCUUGAAAAUAAAUUUCUUGGAGAAAGAAGAUGAGGCCGUGUACUUCUGUGCCUGUUGGACUGACACCCACAAUGUUAGAGUUGCCAAGAUUCCUGCACAAGAACCAUCUUCAGCCUGUGCCCCCACACAUCCUUCUCAACAUGGGCAACACAGAGGCCGCACAGCUGGGCACCCAGCCUGAGACAGUUCUGAACAC